AGACCCGAAACCCGGUGAUCUAGCCAUGGGCAGGUUGAAGGUUGGGUAACACUAACUGGAGGACCGAACCGACUAAUGUUGAAAAAUUAGCGGAUGACCUGUGGCUGGGGGUGAAAGGCCAAUCAAACCGGGAGAUAGCUGGUUCUCCCCGAAAGCUAUUUAGGUAGCGCCUCGUGAAUUCAUCUCCGGGGGUAGAGCACUGUUUCGGCUAGGGGGCCAUCCCGGCUUACCAACCCGAUGCAAACUGCGAAUACCGGAGAAUGUUAUCACGGGAGACACACGGCGGGUGCUAACGUCCGUCGUGAAGAGGGAAACAACCCAGACCGCCAGCUAAGGUCCCAAAGUCAUGGUUAAGUGGGAAACGAUGUGGGAAGGCCCAGACAGCCAGGAUGUUGGCUUAGAAGCAGCCAUCAUUUAAAGAAAGCGUAAUAGCUCACUGGUCGAGUCGGCCUGCGCGGAAGAUGUAACGGGGCUAAACCAUGCACCGAAGCUGCGGCAGCGACACUGUGUGUUGUUGG
RNAcentral lists this ribosomal RNA (518 nucleotides) under Salmonella enterica. Its description in RNAcentral is "partial 23S ribosomal RNA". It matches the Rfam family "Bacterial large subunit ribosomal RNA", at positions 711 to 1227 of the family's 2925-position model. Lineage: Bacteria; Pseudomonadati; Pseudomonadota; Gammaproteobacteria; Enterobacterales; Enterobacteriaceae. RNAcentral also lists the same sequence under 2 other names. The record is from RNAcentral.